CUCUUGCUACUCAAAUUGUGGCUGAGAACCAGCGACAUCCCAUCACCAGAAGCUUUAUAGAAAAGCCAGGCUCUGUCCCAGACCUAUUGAAAGGAGAUCUGCAUUUUAACAUGAUUGCGAGAGGAUCCACAUCUUAAAGUUUCAGAGGCCUAAUCCAAAGUCUUCUGAUAAUGAUCAUUAGAGUCCCAGCCACCCCCGACUUCCCCCUGGGAAAACCACAACAAAUAGAACAAAUUCCUCCAAGCUCUGCUCAUAAGAAGAACCCACAACCCACAGACACCCCCUCACUCAACUAGAGACCUCACCCACCUGUUUGCAGAGUCACCCACCUUGGGCUACUUCUUUUCUACUAUUUAAUCUUCUGGGAAAACAGAGGUCUUCUAUUUGGAGAUAAAAAUGACAAAGGAGAACCUCCUGAACAGCAUCCAGUUUGCUUUUAGCUUUAGCCAUCUCUCUGACCUCAGUGCUGCUGGACUCAGUUCCAAGAUCUAACUGUCAAAUGCUUUAGGGGAAACGGGAAGAGAAGUCCCUGGAGUAACCCAUGUGCGCAGCCUGGCACUGUUUUCACUUGCCUUUGGAAAUGAAGGUGCAGAAACCAUGGGAGGAACCUGAUGAAAUGCCUGGUCUAACAGGAGGAUGCAGAGAAAGUUAUGAAGAGAGUGGCUUCUAGAAGAGUGAGUCUGGAAAAUACUGCCCCUACUUUCAAAUGGGAGAAAGCCUCCCUUGUACUAAGUUUGCAAUCAUUAGAAAACUGUUGAUAUACAGCAAAAGAAACUACCAUCAGAGUGAACAGGCAACCUACAGAAUGGGAGAAAAUUUUUGCAAUCUACUCAUCUGACAAAGGGCUAAUAGCCAGAAUCUACAAAGAACUCAAACAAAUUUACAAGAAAAAACAAACAACCCCAUCAAAAAGUGGGCAAAGGAUAUGAACAGACACUUCUCAAAAGAAGACAUUUAUGCAGCCAACAGACACAUGAAAAAAUGCUCAUCAUCACUGGCCAUCAGAGAAAUGCAAAUCAAAAUCACAAUGAGAUACCAUCUCACACCAGUUAGAAAGGCAGUCAUUAAAAAGUCAGGAAACAACAGGUGCUGGAGAGGAUGUGGAGAAAUAGGAACACUUUUACACUAUUAGUGGGACUGUAAACUGGUUCAACCAUUGUGGAAGACAGUGUGGCGAUUCCUCAAGGAUCCAGAACUAGAAAUACCAUUUGACCCAGCCAUCCCAUUACUGGGUAUAUACCCAAAGGAUUAUAAAUCAUGCUGCUAUAAAGACACAUGCACACGUAUGUUUAUUGUGGCACUAUUCACAAUAGCAAAGACUUGGAACCAACCCAAAUGUCCAUCAGUGAUAGACUAGAUUAAGAAAAUGUGGCACAUAUACACCAUGGAAUACUAUGCAGCCAUAAAAAAGGAUGAGUUCAUGUCCUUUGUAGGGACAUGGAUGAAGCUGGAAACCAUCAUUCUCAGCAAACUAUCGCAAGGACAAAAAACCAAAUACUGCAUGUUCUCACUCAUAGGUGGGAAUUGAACAAUGAGAACACUUGGACACAGGAAGGGGAACAUCACACACUGGGGCCUGUUGUGGGGUGGGGGGAGGGGAGAGGGAUAGCAUUAGGAGAUAUACCUAAUGUAAAUGACGAGUUACUGGGUGCAGCACACCAACAUGGCACAUGUAUACAUGUGUAACAAACCUGCAUGUUGUGUACAUGUACCCUAGAACUUAAAGUAUAAUAAAAAAUAAAAAUAAUAAAAUGGAACCACGCAAAAAAAAGAAAACUGUUGAUAUAAUCUUAACAAUCAGAAGAGAAGUUGGUUACUCAUUUAAAUUACUGGUAAGAUUUUUGUAAGCCCUGUGACAAAACACAUAAAGUGAUGAAAAAUUCUUCCCCCGCAGAAAGAAUAGAAAAAGCCCUGGAGGAUCCAGGUCUAGUCUUAACUCUGUCAACUACUCCAGUACCUAUUAACCUUGAAGAGCUCACUUAGUUUCUCUAGGCUCAGUUUUUUCAACUCUAAAAUGAGAAGAAUACAUUAGAUUCCCUUUAGGAUAAAAAUGCAGUGUUUUGGCCUGGCACAGUGGCUCACGAACCUGUAAUCCCAGCACUUUGUGAGGCUGAGGCAGGUGAAUCUCUUGAGGCCAGAUGUUCGAGACUAGCCUGGCCAACAUGGCAAAACCCCAUCUCCACUAAAAAUACAAAAAUUAGCUGGGCAUGGUGGCGCACGCCUAUAAUCCCAUCUACUUGGGAAGCUGAGGCAGGAGAAUCACUUGAACCUGGAAGGUAGAGGUUGCAGUAAGCCGAGAUCACACCACUGCACUUUAGCUUGGGGACAGAGCAAGACUCUGUCUCAAAAACAAAACCAAACCAAAAUGCAGUGUUUUGACAAAAUAGCAUCAACAACAAAUAUUACCAAAGUUAAUAAAUUGGCCCUACAUAAAUAGGAUAUCUGCAUUAAAAAUGUAAAAUAUUUUCUGAAUGACCAAGCAAUUAAAUUAUAGAAAACUGCAAGCACAAACAAAUACACUUGUUAGAAAAAGCAUAAUUAUAGGAAAGUGCUAAAUUACAUUUGGAGGUUGAAAAGCCAUGAAAUGAUUCAGGCAGACACAAAUAAAAUAUAUGAAAUAAGAAGCACACAACAGUUGAGAUGUAGUCAUAGGCCUGCCCAACUUGUUGGACCAAACAAAAAAGGAAAAAAAUUGCUAUAUAAUAAAUGACUUGUCUUUUCCAUUCCUGAAAUAUGCACAACUGUCUGGAUCAUUGUGAUAUGAAUAUAAUGUCAGGUUAUCGCAAAUGGGAUCAAUGCAUAGUUGUUAGAAGGGAAUUGUGAAAUCUCCAGCUCUGAGCUCUUCUUCUGGAAGGGUGGAGAAAGAACAACAGCCAGUUUAUGAAACCAUUAGAAAGUAUUUAUAGGACCAUGCUUAUAUCAUUUCGUAAUAACUUACAUGUUAUUGUCUGCUUGUAUAUUGUGUGAUCUAAGAACAAUUUCCAAAUUAAAAUAUUGUAAUUGUUCCCAUUAAGUUUAUCUUGGCAGAUUUUUUUUUUUUUUUUUGAGACAAGAUCUUGAUCUGUCACCCAGGAUGGAGUGCAGUGGUGGCACAGUCAUGGGUCAUUGCAGACUCAAUAUCCUGGGCUCAAGUGAUUCUCCCACCUCAGCCUUGUGAGUAACCGGGACUACAGGCACGUGCCACCAUACCUAGCUAUUUUUUUUGUUUGUUUGUUUGUUUUAGAGACAAGGUCUCAUUAUAUUGCCCAAGCUGGUCUUGAACUCCUAGGCUCAAGUGAUCCUCCUGCCUUACCCUUCCAACGUGCUGGGAUUAUAGGUGUGAGCCGCCAUGUAUCCUGACAAAUCUUUCUUUUUACUACUCCUUUAAGUGGGACCUGUAGUUGACCCAAUACUCUGAACCGAAUAUAUUCACCUGAGAGAGAAAAAAAAAAAAAACUCUGCCACAAAUAAAGCAAAACUGUAACAAGAAGCCUUGGUCACAUUUGUUGAAGACUAGCAUACUGCUGGCUAGUCUGUCCAGAUAUCUGAGAAUGGAUUAAAUGGCUUUCUGCUGUUCUUUUUAGGAUCAAGAUGCUAUGAAAAGCUUUAGUAUUUGAUACAUUUCAAGGGAGAAAAGGCUGAGUUUACUUAUUUUGAAAUGCUAUGUGUCUUUGUACUUAGGUGAAUACAUGUGAGUAUAUUUUAAAUUAAAUUCCUUUCAACUAUUUCAACUAUUUUUACAGACAUCAUUUACUGAGAGGACAAAUGGGUAAUAUAAUAAAAAUUGCCAUGGGUGGAGGUGAAAUGUUGUAACUUACAAGCAGUAAUUUAUCUUCCUGCUGGCAUGUCAGGAUAUGGUGAUGACUACACUUGUUGUUCAAAUUAUUUCCUAGUAACAACCUCAAAGGAAACCAUGUUGAGUCUGAAACCAUCUUGCAUUUGAAAGCCUGUGUGGCCUUCUUACAGAUCACAUUUUCAAAGAGGUCAGAAGUCAAUGUAUAUGUAGAAUUUCAGACACUGUACCAUCUUCCACAGGGAUUACACUCAGAGGCCUAAACAUGUCACAGGAAAAGUUGUUAGACUGUUUAAAGAAAAUCAACAACCAGGCACAGUGGCUCAUGCCUGUAAUCCCAGCACUUUGAGAGGCCAAGGCAGGCGGAUCACUUGAGGUCAGACAUUCGACACUAGCCUGGCCAACAUGGUGAAACCCCGUCUCUACUAAAAAUCCAAAAAUAAGCCGGGCAUGGUGGUGGCGCAUGCCUGUAAUCCCAGUUACUCAGGAGGCUGAGGCAGGAGAAUCGCUUGAACCCGGGAGGCGGAGGUUGCAGUGAGCUGAGAUCGUGCCACUGCACUCUGGCCUGGAUGACAAUGAGACUCUGUCUCAAAAAAAAGAAAAAAAAAGAAAAGAAAAUCAACUGGAAGAGGGUAAAAGGAAGCAAAAUCUCUCUGCAACAUUGGGGAGUGAAUUUGCACAAAGGACGUUCCAAAACAUCCAUGAAGUUGACUGGAAAAAAAAAUAGAAAUACAAAUGUAAAGUUUAAAGGAGCCCAUGAACCUAAGGAAACAGAUACUGGGGAUUUUUGAGCUGAAUACAAAACCUCUGAGAAGCAAAAGAAAAAAUAUGUUUGCCAAGAGGCGUCCUUUCCAUAUCUAAAGCAAAACCCACAAAUACCCAUGAGUAAUAUCAUGCAGGUUAUGAAGUUCCUAUGCAAAACCAGCAACAUUUUCAUAAACCAGAAUUGUUGGAACAGUUGCAGAUAUUCAUUUAAAAAAAUCUGACUGUAUAACAGCUCUGAAACGCAAAGCUAGGCCACAAAAGUACAUUUCACCACAUAUGUCAAUUUUCUUGAACCCUCUCACUAUCAGAGUUGCCCAGGUUUUAAAGUUCCAAAGUUAGUAAAGAGACUGUGAAUCAGACACUAAAAUAUGUUCUUCUACUUUGUACUGUAGCAAUGCCAUAUUUAAGAAAAAUAUGAAAAUGAAACCAAAAAGCAAACAAGAUUGUGGAAUUCCCUGACAUUGUAUUAUAUUUUACCAGCAGCCUCUGUAUUACACACUGGAAUAGCUUAAAUGUGUCUUUUUCAAUUAAUUUCCCUUUUUUUCCAGAAGAAUAAAGAAGUACAUUUAUUACAGUAAAUAAAGU
RNAcentral lists this long non-coding RNA (5122 nucleotides) under Homo sapiens (human). RNAcentral describes it as "HSALNT0377427". The record is from RNAcentral. Lineage: Eukaryota; Metazoa; Chordata; Mammalia; Primates; Hominidae.